This 252-nucleotide ribosomal RNA is filed under the name uncultured bacterium. RNAcentral describes it as "partial 16S ribosomal RNA". It matches the Rfam family "Bacterial small subunit ribosomal RNA", at positions 524 to 776 of the family's 1533-position model. The record is from RNAcentral.
UACGUAGGUCUCGAGCGUUGUCCGGAUUUAUUGGGCGUAAAGCGAGCGCAGGUGGUUUAUUAAGUCUGGUGUAAAAGGCAGUGGCUCAACCAUUGUAUGCAUUGGAAACUGGUAGACUUGAGUGCAGGAGAGGAGAGUGGAAUUCCAUGUGUAGCGGUGAAAUGUGUAGAUAUAUGGAGGAACACCGGUGGCGAAAGCGGCUCUCUGGCCUGUAACUGACACUGAGGCUCGAAAGCGUGGGGAGCAAACAGG